AAGGGCUUAGCUUAAUUAAAGCGAUUGUUUUGCGUUCAGUUGAUGUGAGGUAGAUUCUUGCAGUCCUUA
RNAcentral lists this transfer RNA (69 nucleotides) under Ailuropoda melanoleuca (giant panda). RNAcentral describes it as "tRNA-Ala". It matches the Rfam family "tRNA". From Rfam's summary of the family: Transfer RNA (tRNA) molecules are approximately 80 nucleotides in length. Their secondary structure includes four short double-helical elements and three loops (D, anti-codon, and T loops). The record is from RNAcentral. Lineage: Eukaryota; Metazoa; Chordata; Mammalia; Carnivora; Ursidae.